AGAGUUUGAUCCUGGCUCAGGAUGAACGCUGGCGGCGUGCCUAAUACAUGCAAGUCGAGCGAACGGACGAGAAGCUUGCUUCUCUGAUGUUAGCGGCGGACGGGUGAGUAACACGUGGAUAACCUACCUAUAAGACUGGGAUAACUUCGGGAAACCGGAGCUAAUACCGGAUAAUAUUUUGAACCGCAUGGUUCAAAAGUGAAAGACGGUCUUGCUGUCACUUAUAGAUGGAUCCGCGCUGCAUUAGCUAGUUGGUAAGGUAACGGCUUACCAAGGCAACGAUGCAUAGCCGACCUGAGAGGGUGAUCGGCCACACUGGAACUGAGACACGGUCCAGACUCCUACGGGAGGCAGCAGUAGGGAAUCUUCCGCAAUGGGCGAAAGCCUGACGGAGCAACGCCGCGUGAGUGAUGAAGGUCUUCGGAUCGUAAAACUCUGUUAUUAGGGAAGAAUAUAUGUGUAAGUAACUGUGCACAUCUUGACGGUACCUAAUCAGAAAGCCACGGCUAACUACGUGCCAGCAGCCGCGGUAAUACGUAGGUGGCAAGCGUUAUCCGGAAUUAUUGGGCGUAAAGCGCGCGUAGGCGGUUUUUUAAGUCUGAUGUGAAAGCCCACGGCUCAACCGUGGAGGGUCAUUGGAAACUGGAAAACUUGAGUGCAGAAGAGGAAAGUGGAAUUCCAUGUGUAGCGGUGAAAUGCGCAGAGAUAUGGAGGAACACCAGUGGCGAAGGCGACUUUCUGGUCUGUAACUGACGCUGAUGUGCGAAAGCGUGGGGAUCAAACAGGAUUAGAUACCCUGGUAGUCCACGCCGUAAACGAUGAGUGCUAAGUGUUAGGGGGUUUCCGCCCCUUAGUGCUGCAGCUAACGCAUUAAGCACUCCGCCUGGGGAGUACGACCGCAAGGUUGAAACUCAAAGGAAUUGACGGGGACCCGCACAAGCGGUGGAGCAUGUGGUUUAAUUCGAAGCAACGCGAAGAACCUUACCAAAUCUUGACAUCCUUUGACAACUCUAGAGAUAGAGCCUUCCCCUUCGGGGGACAAAGUGACAGGUGGUGCAUGGUUGUCGUCAGCUCGUGUCGUGAGAUGUUGGGUUAAGUCCCGCAACGAGCGCAACCCUUAAGCUUAGUUGCCAUCAUUAAGUUGGGCACUCUAAGUUGACUGCCGGUGACAAACCGGAGGAAGGUGGGGAUGACGUCAAAUCAUCAUGCCCCUUAUGAUUUGGGCUACACACGUGCUACAAUGGACAAUACAAAGGGCAGCGAAACCGCGAGGUCAAGCAAAUCCCAUAAAGUUGUUCUCAGUUCGGAUUGUAGUCUGCAACUCGACUACAUGAAGCUGGAAUCGCUAGUAAUCGUAGAUCAGCAUGCUACGGUGAAUACGUUCCCGGGUCUUGUACACACCGCCCGUCACACCACGAGAGUUUGUAACACCCGAAGCCGGUGGAGUAACCUUUUAGGAGCUAGCCGUCGAAGGUGGGACAAAUGAUUGGGGUGAAGUCGUAACAAGGUAGCCGUAUCGGAAGGUGCGGCUGGAUCACCU
RNAcentral lists this ribosomal RNA (1540 nucleotides) under Staphylococcus aureus. RNAcentral describes it as "16S ribosomal RNA". It matches the Rfam family "Bacterial small subunit ribosomal RNA". Lineage: Bacteria; Bacillati; Bacillota; Bacilli; Caryophanales; Staphylococcaceae. RNAcentral also lists the same sequence under 1 other name. The record is from RNAcentral.